RNAcentral lists this ribosomal RNA (177 nucleotides) under uncultured Bacillus sp. Its description in RNAcentral is "partial 16S ribosomal RNA". It matches the Rfam family "Bacterial small subunit ribosomal RNA", at positions 355 to 524 of the family's 1533-position model. The record is from RNAcentral. Lineage: Bacteria; Bacillati; Bacillota; Bacilli; Caryophanales; Bacillaceae.
UAGGGAAUCUUCCGCAAUGGACGAAAGUCUGACGGAGCAACGCCGCGUGAGUGAUGAAGGUUUUCGGAUCGUAAAACUCUGUUGUUAGGGAAGAACAAGUACCGGAGUAACUGCCGGUACCUUGNCGGUACCUAACCAGAAAGCCACGGCUAACUACGUGCCAGCAGCCGCGGUAAU